This 467-nucleotide long non-coding RNA is filed under the name Gallus gallus (chicken). The record is from RNAcentral. Lineage: Eukaryota; Metazoa; Chordata; Aves; Galliformes; Phasianidae.
CGGUGGAGUCGGGGAGGCUGGGGAGGUGGGAGGGCUUGGGGUAGCGCAUUGAGCCGAUAGCAUGCGGCCCCGGCGAGAUGCCUCAGCAGCCAGAGCACACGAGAUCUCUAUCCUCUUCUCCUGUUCCUGCAGCUGUGUUUCGGGGUCCUGGGGAGCGUCCACUUCACCCUCACCCAGGGGGAUGACAUUCUGCAGGCUGGACUUGGCAAUGAGGGUUUUUAUCCUUUCCACUUUCUUUUGUUUCUCCUUCAUUUCUUCGGGGCUGAGUGGCGUGUCGGGCUCCAGCUCGAUGUACCGCUCGGGGAUGAGGACUUUGUCCGGUGUGGAUAGCUGGGUGCAGGGCUGGGCUGAGCACCGCUCACCAGGGACCCAUCCCCUCCUCAGCACACACACUCCCCACACAACCAACCCCAGCUCCCAGUACACCAGGCACAGGAAGCAGCACUCACUCCGGCUCCAGGACCCCA